RNAcentral lists this ribosomal RNA (468 nucleotides) under uncultured bacterium. RNAcentral describes it as "partial 16S ribosomal RNA". It matches the Rfam family "Bacterial small subunit ribosomal RNA", at positions 28 to 507 of the family's 1533-position model. The record is from RNAcentral.
GACGAACGCUGGCGGCGUGCUUAACACAUGCAAGUCGAACGGAAAGGCCCUGCUUUUGUGGGGUGCUCGAGUGGCGAACGGGAGAGUAACACGUGAGUAACCUGCCCUUGACUCUGGGAUAACUUCAGGACACUGGAGCUAAUACAGGAUAGGAGAUCCUGCUGCUUGGUGGGGGUUGGAAAGUUUCGGCGGUUGGGGAUGGACUCGCGGCUUGUCAGCUUGUUGGUGGGGUUGUGGCUUAGAAAGGCUUUGGAGGGUGGCCGGCCUGAGAGGGUGGCCGGCCACGUUGGGACUGCGAUACGGCCCAGACUCCUACGGGAGGCAGCAGUGGGGAAUAGUGUACAAUGGGCGGAAGCCGGAUGCAGCGACGCCGCGUGCGGGAUGACGGCCUUCGGGUUGUAAACCGCGUCCGCCUGUUACGAAGCGGGAGUGACGGUAAUGGGUAAAGAAGCACCGGCUAACUACGUG